Molecule: ribosomal RNA, 376 nt
Filed under: uncultured bacterium
Lineage: Bacteria
Description: bacterial SSU rRNA
Rfam family: Bacterial small subunit ribosomal RNA
Source: RNAcentral
UACGUAGGUUGCGAGCGUUGUCCGGAUUUACUGGGCGUAAAGCGCACGCAGGCGGUUCCGAAAGUCGAAUGUGAAAGCUCCCGGCCCAACUGGGAGAGGCCGUUCGAAACUUCGGGACUUGAAGGCGGGAGAGGCAGAUGGAAUUUCCGGUGUAGCGGUAAAAUGCGUAGAUACCGGAAGGAACACCAGUGGCGAAAGCGAUCUGCUGGCCCGCCCUUGACGCUCAGGUGCGAAAGCUAGGGGAGCGACCGGGAUUAGAUACCCCGUUAGUCCUAGCUGUAAACAAUGGGCACUAGGUGUUGUCGGUAUCGACCCCGGCAGUGCCGAAGCUAACGCAUUAAGUGCCCCGCCUGGGGAGUACGACCGCAAGGUUAAA